Molecule: long non-coding RNA, 4988 nt
Organism: Paramacrobiotus metropolitanus
Lineage: Eukaryota; Metazoa; Tardigrada; Eutardigrada; Parachela; Macrobiotidae
Exons: 4
Source: RefSeq, a predicted model, not a curated record
AAAAGGGGAAAGAGCGGACUUAUUUUUCCUGAUGUGUAGGUGGAUAAUCCGGGAACGUUACGGAAUCAUAAUCGAAUUUGAGCGCCACAACGCCACCGCUGGAGCCCCAGCACCGGACGCUGAUCCAAAAGUUGUGCCCGAAUUUGCAACCGGAGGGAGUACAAGUUACAGCCGGUUCGAAAACCACAACAUGGAGUAACUGGCCGUGGACGGCAGCGUCGCAGCGAAGAACGUAAUAUUUUACCCAUUAUUCCUGGAACGAAAAUAGUACAGUAUUGAACUACCUUUAAUUUUCUUGGACUAUCUUCAAAGAGUUUAUACAAAUACAGCUAAAAUUCGUUUCCUUAUAAUUAUGUUUUCCUACAUUUCCUUUUGUCUCUUAUGUUUUCUUGUGCUUUUAUGUUUCUCGUCUGUCUUAUGUUUCUUAUGUUUUCUUAUGUUUUCUUAUGAUGUUUUCUUUUGUAAGAAAAUUUAUUCUAUAGGAAAAUUGAUUUGAAACUUACGCGGUUUUCGUGUGGUGUGGCUGUUUUCUGAUUUAUUAUUUCGAAGUGUCGCAAUGUUCGUAAGCCAAACGGCCGCUGAGGAUUGCGGACAUUACCAAUGCAACGGAAGUGCUAAAGCGCAAAUUUUAGAACAAACAAUUUGAGAAACCGUCCGCUGACGCUUUUUGUAUGCAACUGACAGUUUAUGACUGAAAAGUUGCGCAUGCUCAAGUUUACCAAAAUUACCGCAAUCCGUAGUGAUUACGUAUAUACAAUAAUGCAGAGUAAACAGGCUCGUUCUUGUGGCCGUUUAUUCGGCCGCUGAGGCUACAUGUAUAAGUAUAUAUAGAGACAUAAAAUAUACAACUGUAAAUAUAGGGUGUUAGAUAUCAUCCAACCCACGUUUUUUUAGCAUGUUGCAUCAUCUUGCAUGCUCCAUAUAUGGUGCUAGCUAUUUUAUGUUCUGACGUUACACGUUAGUCAUACUAAUGUUCUAAUACUAUUUGCAAGCUAGCUAUAAAGGCUGCUGCAUCUGUGUAUGAGAGACCAGUCUAGGCUCAUUAAACUUCAAAUCUUCACAUAGAAGUAGUAACAGAAAAGUAUUUGGUAGCGGUACGGGCGCUACCAAGAGACAGUUACCUUUUUGUUUGUGAGAGUACUGUAACUUCCACUAAAAUGGAAGUGCUCGUACAAAAUAUAUAUUAUGUACUGUUAAUCGUAAUCGUUUGUAUAAUUUUUCUUACCACCGAAAAGGGGGAAAGAGCGGACUUAUUUUUCCUGAUGUGUAGGUGGAUAAUCCGGGAACAUUACGGAAUAAUAAUCGCUUUUGAGCGCCACAACGCAACCGCUGGAGCCCCAGCACCGGACGCUGAUCCAAAAGUUGUGCCCGAAGUUGCAACCGGAGGGAGUACAAGUUACAGCCAGUUCGAAAACCACAACAUGGAGUAACUGGCCGUGGACGGCAGCGUCGCAGCGAAGACCGUAAUAUUUUACCCAUUAUUCCUGGAACGAAAAUAGUACAGUAUUGAACUACCUUUAAUUUUCUUGGUCUAUCUUCAAAGAGUUUACACAAGUUCAGCUAAAAUUCGUUUCCUUAUAAUUAUGUUUUCUUAAAUUUCCUUUUGUCUCUUAUGUUUUCUUGUGCUUUUAUGUUUCUCGUGUGUCUUAUGUUUCUUAUGUUUUCUUGCGUUUUCUUAUGAUGUUUUCUUUUGUAAGAAAAUUUAUUCUAUAGGAAAAUUGAUUUGAAACUUACGCGCGUUUUCGUGUGGCCUUUAUCAUGAAAUGAGUAUGGGAUUUUAUGUUGAGCUGUUUAGUAAUUUUAAAUGAGCGCUUUAAACUUAUAAUAAAAAUCUUAUGGGUUGCACAGAAUAGCACAGCAUGGGGCAACGAAAUUGGGAACACUUAUUUCAGCUUAUUACGAUUACUCUUAUUACAGUUUUUCUUCCAAAUACAUAUGUUCGCAUUGAUACCUAAAGUAUUAGCCGUAAUUACAUACUGAAUCUUAAUAAGCAUAAGCUGUUAAUUCGCUUUGAAGGACACCAGCAGCAGAAGAGCUUUACAGUUAUUUUAAUUCGACGGGCGGCCGGAUCAAAAUUAGAUGAGCAUUCUAACGAUUAAGGAAUAGCUGCAGAUAGCGAUCUUAAUGAUAUGUAAUAGUACUGCAUUAUGGAUUAGAAUGACCGGAGUAUGCAGAUGAAUAACAGUUAAAAAAAUUAAUUCAUGCACUAUGGUCAACAGGGCGUGGGGGAAACGAAAUAAUUAGAAGUAAAUUUUACUUUGUACUGUAGCCUAUAGGCAAUGCACCGCAUUAUACGUUAUCAGACUGGUAAUGUUACUGAACAAUCGUUACAAGGCCAGCUUACUUGCUCAAAAUGUUUAUCUGCGCAGCUCGCUUAUGGUAGUAGUUUUUUUUCCAUUUCUAAAAAUUUUACGGUUCACACGUUGGAUCGCUUUAUCUGAUCCUGACUUUAAUUUCUGUAAGCAAUUCAAAUCGAAGUAACACGCGCAGAUAUGACACAUACUUCUUCUUCUAUAGAUUCUAUCCAGCGUAUAAACGCUGAGUCAUACUGCGACAGAGAGACGAGAGAGCAAGUGUGGCUCGUGUUUGAGCACGCGAUAUUUAAUUUAUACCCGCUUCAGCGGAGAGUGCCGCUGCAGCAGCACACGUACUGUACGUACAAAAGAGAGAGGCAAUACAGCAUGUAUGUGAGUGUAAGUAAGUACUCCAAAGCACGUCACGCAGGCCCGUACGCCUCACACACACACCCAUAAAUAUAUUAUAUUAUCAUAAUAUCUAUAUCACUAAACUGACAGGUACUCCAGAUAUCCGAUCAGGAUUUUGCCAUGGACUUUUUAUGCUUAUCUGAUAGAACUUAUUACAGAGGGUGAGACAGCCAAGUGCUAAUUUGUCAAAAAUUUGCUCCCUUCGUCCCUGUGCUGAUUUUAUUCUUUCAUGUAAUUUACUUGGAACCCUUUUUUUUUAACUGUCAAAUUUACUGAUAUUCAUCCAGAGCAAACGUAUGUGCGAAACACAGUAAUUUUCAUACAAACUAGACCAGGCUCCGCUAGGAGCAUAUAACUUUUCGCGCAGCGGCAGCACACCCUUUCGACAUAAAAUUUCAUUAAAAAUCGCAUUUUUUCCAGAAUCUCAGUAUGCUGGGUUUACAAAAUAGCCUGACCCUUUCUACUUCAACCUAUUUCUAAAUCCCUGAAAUUCGGCCAUAAACUGUGUGGUUUCCUGGCGGUGGGAGCCGGAGGGGGGUGGGUGUGAAGGACAUACCGCCAUUUCUGGGUCGGCCUACUUUACCUCUGCCCGCCCUUUGCCUUUUCAAUAUGCCCCUUUCUACUAUACCUUUGCCUCUGCCGGCGAGAUUGCCUUCACCGUCCCGGGUGACCUAUGCAAAACACCGUUUCAAAAGCCUGCCUCGUCAAUUACUAGUAACCUUUUAAAAAUUAGCCACUCUACUGUUUAAAAGAUGCGACUAUCAGCACAGCACAGAGAUUCUUUGUGCUGUUCGAAGCAUAAAAUUUAAAAACGCAUUUUCAUUGGCAAUUGUAUUAUUCAGAUCCCCACGAAAAAAGCUACAGACACCCCACAAUUUACAACAGUCCGAACGCAAUCAAACAUAAAACAACAUCGAAACACGGUAAUGUAUAAAUCGUUUUACCGGUAGUUAGGCAGUUAGUUUCUUUAUGGUACUCGUAUGAAACUGUAGAAGUUUCUGUAGAAACCACUUCUCAUGCAGUAACUUUGAACAUGUUGCCUCAACAGUUGACAGCUUUUUUUGAAACAAAAGUCCGUUACGAAACAUUUGAGCGUGUUCCUUUUCGUCUUCCGCUGUCACAGCACUGCUUUGAACUCUGUAUUACGGUAACUUUGCGAUUGCGUUAGUUCGCAUUAUCGUUCCUUUAUUCAAACGUUUGCGCGUUCUUUACGCAGACCAUACAGCGGCAAAGACUUGCAGUUACAGUAUUAUGUGUUCGUACAUGCGUUUAAAGGUUAAUUUACUGGACGAGCUUCGAAACGGUGUUUUUCAAAGGUCACCCGGGACGGUGAAGGUAAUCUCGCCGGCGAAGGCAAAGUAGGAAAGGGCGUACUGAAAAGGCAAAGGGCGGGAAAGGCAAAGGACAGGCAAAGGUAAAGUAGGCCGACCCCCAUUUCUAAGAUUUUAUACUGCAUAUACGCAGUAGCAAGCCUUAAAUAUUCGAGCAAAAUUGGACACUAUACACUUCAGCAUGCCAAAUCACGGGACGAGCUGUAGCAGCUAUCCACAUACAGUACAACUGUUUCUAAAGCGGAAUAUGUCUUCGAGCUCUGGGAAGAUGGAAAGUCACUUCAAAACAAAACAUUCUACUUCCACUCCGGGCAAUAUCGACAGUCAAAAGUUUCACUUACUGCUUUCUCUAAUUUUAUUGCAGGUAGGACGCUUCAGAUGGUAGCGCUGCAUGUCCAUCUUCACGCUGUGCAGGCCGUUGGAACCAACUUUUCGGAUGGUCGGAAAUUUCAAAGCUAACCAAGUUUUGACUCCCUUAUGGCCAGUCCGUGAAACGAGAUCCUGCUCCUUUAGGAGUUGUACGUGUACAUCAACUGCUCCAGUGUAUCUCCUGAUGACAUUAAGCUUUCGCUACUGUAAACGCCCUUUCUGGUUUGAGUAAUCUGCGACCUCGUGCAGGCAACCUCAGCCUACGCCUGAUCAUCGGAGACAUUAAGCACACAGCACACUCAAAUUCUCAAACGGUAAAAAAAUACGUUUUUAUCAUCAGCCAGCUGAACAGCGAAGGGAUUCGUACGAAAUUUGUAAGUGUAAAUCCCUACCCGCGGAGACAAACGUACUGCGACGUUUGCCCGGAUUGGAAUACUCAAGGAAUACUGACAAAAUUCUGCGAUCUGACUUUGGCUCCAAGUCCAACAUCUUCAUACGAGAAUGGGUGUACUGAUUUGUCUUACUGUCUAUCUAUGAAAUUUCUUGGUUUUAUGUUCACGGUUUUACCUGCUGCUGAACAAAA